RNAcentral lists this microRNA precursor (166 nucleotides) under Oryza brachyantha (malo sina). RNAcentral's name for it is "MIR812 microRNA precursor family". It matches the Rfam family "MIR812 microRNA precursor family", at positions 27 to 190 of the family's 205-position model. The record is from Rfam by way of RNAcentral. Lineage: Eukaryota; Viridiplantae; Streptophyta; Magnoliopsida; Poales; Poaceae.
UACAAUGUUUUGACUCUUCAUCUUAUUUAAAUUUUUUUUACGAUUAAUAUUUUUUUUGUUACUAGAAAUAGAAAUAUGAAUAGUACUUUAUGCGUGACUAAUUUUUUUAGUUUUUUUAUAAAUUUUUCAAAUAAGAUGAAUGGUCAAACGUUGGACACGGAAAAAC